This 465-nucleotide ribosomal RNA is filed under the name Pectobacterium carotovorum. RNAcentral describes it as "bacterial SSU rRNA". It matches the Rfam family "Bacterial small subunit ribosomal RNA", at positions 338 to 795 of the family's 1533-position model. Lineage: Bacteria; Pseudomonadati; Pseudomonadota; Gammaproteobacteria; Enterobacterales; Pectobacteriaceae. RNAcentral also lists the same sequence under 1 other name. The record is from RNAcentral.
CCUACGGGGGCAGCAGUGGGGAAUUGUUCGCAAUGGGCGAAAGCCUGACGACGCAACGCCGCGUGGAGGACGAAGGCCUUCGGGUUGUAAACUCCUGUCGGGGGGGAAGAACGGCCUGCGGGUUAAUACCCCGUAGGCGUGACGGUACCCCUAGAGGAAGCCCCGGCUAACUCCGUGCCAGCAGCCGCGGUAACACGGAGGGGGCGAGCGUUGUUCGGAUUUACUGGGCGUAAAGGGCUUGUAGGCGGCUGUCUAUGUCGGUUGUGAAAUCCCCAGGCUCAACCUGGGAACUGCAGCCGAAACUGGGUGGCUAGAAGCCGGGAGAGGGAUGCGGAAUUCCAGGUGUAGCGGUGAAAUGCGUAGAUAUCUGGAGGAACACCCGUGGCGAAGGCGGCAUCCUGGACCGGUCUUGACGCUGAGGAGCGAAAGCUAGGGUAGCAAAUGGGAUUAGAUACCCUUGUAGUC